Molecule: ribosomal RNA, 217 nt
Filed under: Pseudo-nitzschia pungens
Lineage: Eukaryota; Bacillariophyta; Bacillariophyceae; Bacillariales; Bacillariaceae
Description: partial Bacterial large subunit ribosomal RNA
Rfam family: Bacterial large subunit ribosomal RNA
Source: RNAcentral
AUACCCGCGGCUAGACGGAAAGGCCCCGUGAACCUUUACUACAGCUUGACACUGAACAUUGAGCCUACAUGUGUAGGAUAGGUGGGAGGCUUUGAAGCGAGGACGCCAGUUCUUGUGGAGCCAAUCUUGAAAUACCACCCUUGUAUGUUUGAUGUUCUAACAUUGGUCCCUUAUCGGGAUUGUGGACAGUGUCUGGAGGGUAGUUUGACUGGGGCGG